Molecule: ribosomal RNA, 406 nt
Filed under: uncultured bacterium
Lineage: Bacteria
Description: partial 16S ribosomal RNA
Rfam family: Bacterial small subunit ribosomal RNA
Source: RNAcentral
AUUGAACGCUGGCGGCAGGCCUAACACAUGCAAGUCGAACGAGUGGCGGACGGGUGAGUAAUGUCUGGGAAACUGCCUGCUGGCGGGGGAUAACUACUGGAAACGGUAGCUAAUACCGCAUACUAUCAGAUGUGGCCAGAUGUGAGUGGCUUGUGGGUGGGGUAACGGGUCACCCGGACGACGAUCCCUAGCUGGUCUGAGAGGAUGACCAGCCGCACUGGAACUGAGACACUGUGCAGACUCCUACGGGAGGCAGCAGGGGGGAAUAUUACACAAUGGGAGCAAGCCUGAUGGAUCCAUGCCGCGUGUAUGAAGAGGGCCUUAGGGUUGUAAAGUACUUUCAGCGUGGAGGCGUUACCCGCAGAAGAAGCACCGGCUAACUCCGUGCCAGCAGCCGCGGUAAUUC